This 1597-nucleotide long non-coding RNA is filed under the name Zea mays. RNAcentral describes it as "drought responsive lncRNA". Lineage: Eukaryota; Viridiplantae; Streptophyta; Magnoliopsida; Poales; Poaceae. The record is from RNAcentral.
AGGCGAUCUAUUAUUACCCAGAUGGAAUCAUUCCCUUUUUGCGUCCGGGGCAGUUCGGUUACGAAGUCCAUGCCUAUUUCUUCCCACUUCCAUUCAGGUAUCGGAAGGGGUUGUAAUAGGCCUGCAGGCUUUUGGUGUUCGGCCUUCGUCCGUUGGCAGAUGUCACAUCGGGCCACAUACUGAGCUAUCUCUUUCUUCAUCCCUUUCCACCAGUAUUUGGUUUUGAGGUCCAGGUACAUCUUGGUAGUUCCUGGGUGGAUGGAGUAGGCCGAGUCGUGAGCUUCCUUGAGUAGGACCUCUCGAGCCUCCCCUUUUGGUACACACAGACGGUAUUUGAACUAAAGGACUCCUUGGUCAUCCGUCCUGAGGUCCGGGAGUUGUCCCUUGCGGGCUUUCUCCACAAGUCCUGCUGUCUCUUAGUCUAGACGUUGAGCUUUGCGUAUGAGGUCUUCCAGCAUUGGUUUGACUUCGAGACUGUCGUUGUUUCCCAGACAUGCAUUUAGUUGCUGAUUCUUUCUUCCAAUCCUCUAAAAGGUUGGUUCCUUUUAAUCCGAAUGGUUUUCGACUGAGGGCGUCGGCUACCACGUUGGCCUUCCCGGGGUGAUAGUGAAUUUCUAGGUCAUAAUCCUUGAUCAGCUCCAACCAUCUUCGCUGACGGAGGUUGAGAUCUGGUUGAGUGAAUAUAUACUUCAGACUCUUGUGAUCGGUGAAAAUGUGGCAUUUGUUUCUGAUUAGGUAAUGCCUCCAUAUCUUCAAGGCAUGCACUAUGGCUGCCAAUUCCAAAUCAUGGGUGGGGUAAUUCUGUUCGUGCGGUUUGAGUAGGCGUGAUGCGUAAGCAAUGACUUUCUCAUUUUGCAUUAGAACACACCCUAAGCCUUGCCUCGAGGCAUCACAGAAGACGACAGAAUCUUGAUGAAUAUCUGGCAGUGAUAGAACGGGUGCUGUCGUGAGUUUCUCCUUUAUGACCUGGAAACUCCCUUCACAUUUUGGGGUCCACACAAAUUUAUGGUUUUUCUUGAGAAGUUCUGUCAUUGGUCUUGCUAUGCUGGAGAAUCCUUUGAUGAAGCGGCGGUAGUACCCUGCCAUUCCUAGGAAGCUUCGAACUUCACUGACGUUGGUUGGCUGCCUCCAUUUUGAUAUUGCUUCCACCUUGGAAGGGUCCACUUCUAUCCCUUCUGCGGUUAAGAUAUGCCCAAGGAAGGCUAUCUUUUCCAACCAGAAUUCACAUUUACUGAGUUUAGCAUAAAGUUGGUGUGUUCUGAGUUUUCCGAGGACGAUCCGAAGGUGACGCUUAUGGUCUUCGCAAUUCUUGGAGUAGAUAAGGAUGUAGUCAAUGAAGACUACGACAAACUUAUCUAGCUCUUCCAUAAACACUUUAUUCAUGAGGUUCAUGAAAAAGGCGGGUGCGUUUGUCAGUCCGAACGGCAUCACUGUGAAUUCAUAUUGCCCGUACCGGGUGACAAAUGCAGUCUUUUGGAUGUCUGCUUCCUUGAUCCUUAAUUGGUGGUAACCAGACCUUAGGUCUAUCUUGGAGAAGUACUUGGCUCCUUGAAGCUGAUCGAAGAAGUCGUCAAUCCGAGGAAGCGGAUACUUGUUC